Long non-coding RNA from Onychostoma macrolepis, 733 nucleotides. RefSeq lists it as uncharacterized. The transcript is spliced from 3 exons. Lineage: Eukaryota; Metazoa; Chordata; Actinopteri; Cypriniformes; Cyprinidae. The record is from RefSeq and is a predicted model, not a curated record.
CAUAUGUGCUUGAUUCCUUUCAAGCAACAAGUAUUUGGCAAGGCAAUCCCAGUUUAAUGAAAACGGUAAAAAUAUAUAUAUUUUUGCUGUGAGAGAACUGGUGAACUGAACUGUUGUUACAAUGUUCCAUUGCAUCUCUAGAUGAAUCCAGGGGCGUAUGAUGUUCUUAUUGGGACAGUUAAUGAGAACAAUCACUGGACGCUCCUGGUCUGUUUCUUUCCAUUCUUGUCCUUCACUGUAAAUUAAAAUUGUUUAAAUUCAGAGCAAGAUUCAUGCAUAAUUAUUUUUGCAGGUGAUAUAUCCUAAAAAACUGAGAAUACUGUACCUAAAUUCGCUCGGUGAAAACCAAAGUAAACUGGAACACUGUAAAAAGGCUGUAAGUUUGCAGAAGCUAUUUUAAAAGGAGGUAAUUUGGAGUUUGAAAGCACAGUGGCCAACAUAAAUGUCAUUCGCCAAGACAUAGGCCUUUGCUUUCUACAAGAAACAGAGGACCUCUCUGAACUAUGCUUGGCCUGUGGAGACAAAUAUCCAUACACAGAAGACACUGAGGACUCUUGGGUCUGCAAAUUAGCAAACUGUUCUUCGUUUCACCCUGCUUCAAAACAAGUUAUAACGUCAGUGUCUCUUUCAGAUUCAGUGUGACAGCUGCAAUGGAUGGUUUCACUGGGAAUGUGUAAACCGACCCAAUAUAAAAGAUUGUUUUGUUUGUCACGGAUGCCAAGGCCCUGCUUAA